Molecule: ribosomal RNA, 465 nt
Filed under: uncultured bacterium
Lineage: Bacteria
Description: bacterial SSU rRNA
Rfam family: Bacterial small subunit ribosomal RNA
Source: RNAcentral
CCUACGGGUGGCAGCAGUGGGGAAUUUUGGACAAUGGGCGAAAGCCUGAUCCAGCAAUGCCGCGUGCAGGAUGAAGGCCCUCGGGUUGUAAACUGCUUUUGUACGGAACGAAAAGCCUGGGGCUAAUAUCCCCGGGUCAUGACGGUACCGUAAGAAUAAGCACCGGCUAACUACGUGCCAGCAGCCGCGGUAAUACGUAGGGUGCAAGCGUUAAUCGGAAUUACUGGGCGUAAAGCGUGCGCAGGCGGUUUUGUAAGACAGUGGUGAAAUCCCCGGGCUCAACCUGGGAACUGCCAUUGUGACUGCAAGGCUAGAGUGCGGCAGAGGGGGAUGGAAUUCCGCGUGUAGCAGUGAAAUGCGUAGAUAUGCGGAGGAACACCGAUGGCGAAGGCAAUCCCCUGGGCCUGCACUGACGCUCAUGCACGAAAGCGUGGGGAGCAAACAGGAUUAGAUACCCCGGUAGUC